UUAACAGUUAGUAAGCGGCAC
This is a non-coding RNA of Caenorhabditis elegans, 21 nucleotides long. The record is from Ensembl. NCBI's taxonomy places the organism in Eukaryota, Metazoa, Nematoda, Chromadorea, Rhabditida, Rhabditidae.